CUAGUUUAGGGUACUCAGUGCCCAAACUUCAACCCUGUGAUUUACCAACUUGUUUCUUUGCCGGUUUGACCACCGGCAGAAGGAUUCUCAAACUCAUUGAUAAAGUUGCAGUCUGAAUAUUUGAUUUGAAAAUCAAAAGCA
This 141-nucleotide unclassified non-coding RNA is filed under the name soil metagenome. Its description in RNAcentral is "partial internal transcribed spacer 1". The record is from RNAcentral.